RNAcentral lists this ribosomal RNA (421 nucleotides) under uncultured eukaryotic phytoplankton. RNAcentral's name for it is "bacterial SSU rRNA". It matches the Rfam family "Bacterial small subunit ribosomal RNA", at positions 358 to 795 of the family's 1533-position model. The record is from RNAcentral.
GGAAUUUUCCGCAAUGGGCGAAAGCCUGACGGAGCAACGCCGCGUGAGGGAUGAAGGCCUCUGGGCUGUAAACCUCUUUUAUCAAGGAAGAAGAUCUGACGGUACUUGAUGAAUAAGCCACGGCUAAUUCCGUGCCAGCAGCCGCGGUAAGACGGAGGAUGCAAGUGUUAUCCGGAAUCACUGGGCGUAAAGCGUCUGUAGGUGGCUUAACAAGUCAACUGUUAAAUCUUGAAGCUCAACUUCGAAAUCGCAGUCGAAACUGUUAGGCUAGAGUAUAGUAGGGGUAAAGGGAAUUUCCAGUGGAGCGGUGAAAUGCGUAGAGAUUGGAAAGAACACCGAUGGCGAAGGCACUUUACUGGGCUAUUACUAACACUCAGAGACGAAAGCUAGGGUAGCAAAUGGGAUUAAUACCCCAGUAGUC